UUCAGUUGUGUUUUAGAAAAAAAAAAGAGAGAGGAAAGAGUUUAGGGGCUCUGGGCAUGGACGAUUUUCGGUGAUCGGACCGCCGUUCUUCUGUCGCUGGUGACCACCGUAUACGGCGGUCGGAAGUGUAAAAUCGUCCCCUUUUAACCCUUUUGCUCCCCUUAACCUAGGUCCGUAGUUGUAGCCCCCAAAAACCUCACGAAUGCUGCUGGAAGUCGAAAGAAACCUCUCGGUUCUAAUCUCUCCGAUCACCUCCUCAAAAACGGUAAAAGUUCAUAUUUUUUUAUGUAUUUAUCUACGAAUAACAGUGGUAAAAGAGAAAAGAAACAUAGAAAUCACCUUUCUCUUGUUCGAUUGCUUCUCAAUAUUGGUUUGUGUUUGUAUUGUUUUGUUCUUUUUUGAAUAUUCGGAAAGAAAAAAAAAAAGAAAAUGCCCCCCCUUACAUUCGUUUUUUGUUGGCUUUUAUGGCCGAAUGAAAUACAACAUUUUUCUACUGUUUUGUGUUGUCUGCUGCUUCUUUUGUGCUUUGCAUGUUUCCUUUCAUUUUGCAAGUGAUACGGGCGAUGGGACGGGGUUAGGUGGUGGCAACAGACAGAAGGAUGGGCAUGCUGGCCUAGGCACAACGGCUGACAGUCGGGGCAAGGAUUAGGGUUUCCAAAUGUUAGGCUAUUUGGGUUUUUUUUGUUUGGGUUAGUGUAGGUAUUGGGCUUGGGGUAUUUGGGGCUUAAGUGUUUAGGUUAGUUUGGGUUUUGAUAUAAAUGGGUUUAAGUGGGUCUGAUGGGUUAAGGUUUGGGUAGUGGGUCUGGUUGUAAUUGGGUUUUGGGUAUUUGUAUUUGGGCCCGGGCAAUGGGUCAUUUAGUUAUUGGGCCAUUCGGGUUUGAUUGUAAACAGGUCAAAAUUGGCCUACAACAGAGAUCGUGUAACCUUUAUUACUAUGAAAAUAAUAUUAUUUUAAAAUUUGUAUGAAUUAUUAUUUAUGGAAUAAUAUUGUUUUAAAAAGUCA
RNAcentral lists this long non-coding RNA (1003 nucleotides) under Gossypium barbadense (sea-island cotton). Its description in RNAcentral is "long non-coding RNA (GBAR_LNC008554)". The record is from RNAcentral. Lineage: Eukaryota; Viridiplantae; Streptophyta; Magnoliopsida; Malvales; Malvaceae.